Molecule: long non-coding RNA, 1938 nt
Filed under: Varroa destructor (honeybee mite)
Lineage: Eukaryota; Metazoa; Arthropoda; Arachnida; Mesostigmata; Varroidae
Description: uncharacterized LOC111254018, transcript variant X2
Source: RNAcentral
UUUAUCGCGCAUCCACGCGCAGACAACGUCCGCGCUCCUGUCAGCUGUAGAUAAAAAUUGCAUUGUAAAUAGCGGUGAACAGUGGCAUGCAUUUGUAAGAGUGAAUUGUUACGUUGAUUUUUGCAGAAAGAAACCACAGCCGUAUACAUCUGCUCGAACGGAAAAACGUCCGUGUAAUAAUAUUUGCAGGAUGACCAACCAUAUGAUGUGUAUGAUAUAUCAUAUGACCUACGCGUACUCGUCUUAUGAUUUGCUAAAUGAAUAAAGACACCAUUUUGUCAUAUUUUGCUUCGAAUAGUACGAACGUUGUCUUCCAAAAGUCUAAAGUCAUCGACUGAUGUGUUCCCGUAUACGCACUUAACUCAAAGGCAUACUGAAGACAUGCACCCAUGUUGAAGAACUUUCACCAUCCUCUUGGUGUCAAGGGUUGGGUAACGGCCAAAACCCAGGGUUCUACCUAUUCUAUACUUUACGUUGGCUGAACUCGAUAUGGCUUCUAAAACUGAUUCGAAAGCAAUGUCAAAACGCAGGAAAAUAAUCAGCCCACUAAUGAAACCACUCAAAUAUUACGACGGAAUCACAGGAGCCCAAACACCCGACCCAAAUUCGAACCACAGCUGCUUUUAUACUCCAUCGAAAGUCGAAGUAUAACAUCCUUGUGCAAUAACUAAAUAAUAACCAAAUGAUUUUCCAUCCUCUAGUUGUAUAUACACUACUUGCUCUUUAUUAUCGCUAUAGCGGCACAACUCAUAAAUAUCAACACUUUUUAAUUAGCCGCCGUAUUCGUCAGCCCGCUCGAUCAAUGUCGUUGUUGGUUUUACCAUCAGUCAGCACUUGUAGCUUAAAAUUUUACGUUUACUAGUAUUUGUUUGUUUUGCAUACCAAAUAUUCAUCUGUUACUUUUGUCUCGUCCGUUAUGUACAACGCUUACAGUAGACACAGUUGUUAUACCCUUUCGACCCUCAACCGUAUAUGCCUUCUACUUUCGAAAUCAAUACAGGAAUCAUCAACAUUACCCAAACUUGAUUUGGGAUCCGUGUCACUUCAUGGCAUCAAGCCGUGUUUCUUAUAAUAGUAAUAACCAUUAACGUUCGUUUUGUCGCUGAUAACUCAUGUUACAGUUAUGAUCGGCCCGAUUACCAAAAUGCACUUCUUGGGACCGUUCUGCUCUCCAUCGCUAAAUGCUAUAAACCAUGUUUUUCAUAAAUCAUAUUUGAUGUUCUUUUUUUAUUUAAUACAUCACUCCUUUGUGAAGUUAAGUGAUCUACGCAUUUUUUUGUAACACAGCUGUCAUUUUUUAUUGUACAGUAAGUAUCUUCUUUGUUGUAAUAAACAAGCAUACAACUAAACACCAAGCAUUAUAAAUGCUAAUAUUUCAACAUCUUAGUUAUAUUUAGUUUAUUCCUUGAAACAUAUACAAAUCGAAACUAGCUUAUCUGCAAAUAACCAAUACAUGGCUCAGAAUAGGCAAUAUGAAAAUGCAUAUGUAUAUGAUUUUUGCUUAGGUUGGCAUAUUUAGCUCAGUUAAUAUUAAUCAAUUCCUUGUGCUUCUCUUUGGCUAUAAAUAGAGUUAAAGCAAGAUGCCGAUCGUUUCAGCGUGUCCUUAUUACGCCGAUUAGGUUUCGUUUUGCGCUUAGAACCAAAACUUUGUUGCAGUUAUUGAUACUUUCUAUUAACGGACUUUUUUCUUCUGUCCCGUAGCUCAAUUUCUAUCGAGGUGGUUUUGAUCUUUCAUGUUAGACUUUUGUUCAGGGCUGCUAGGCUCCUUAGAGCAAAUAUUAACUUCACUACGACGCCCUGAUCCGUCACAAGGUUCUCGUAGCUGUUCAUUUCUCUACCUUGUAGUGCCAGAAAUCUAUGUAUUCGUUUCCAUUCUACUGUCACCUCUCGUUGGGUAUAGUCGCUCUGAGGAAUCGAAAAUACUGAGCAGGUUCCUUC